RNAcentral lists this ribosomal RNA (168 nucleotides) under Ceratobasidium theobromae. RNAcentral's name for it is "partial large subunit ribosomal RNA". It matches the Rfam family "Eukaryotic large subunit ribosomal RNA", at positions 99 to 261 of the family's 3401-position model. The record is from RNAcentral. Lineage: Eukaryota; Fungi; Basidiomycota; Agaricomycetes; Cantharellales; Ceratobasidiaceae.
CGGGAAGAGCUCAAAUUUAAAAUCUGGCAGUGUAUUCUGUCCGAGUUGUAGUCUAGAGAAGCAUCAUCCGUGCUGGACCAUGUACAAGUCUCUUGGAACAGAGUAUCAUAGAGGGUGAGAAUCCCGUCCUUGACAUGGACUCCCAGUGCUUUGUGUUGUGCUCUCAAC